This is a non-coding RNA of Nothobranchius furzeri (turquoise killifish), 1954 nucleotides long. The record is from RefSeq and is a predicted model, not a curated record. NCBI's taxonomy places the organism in Eukaryota, Metazoa, Chordata, Actinopteri, Cyprinodontiformes, Nothobranchiidae.
AAAGAGCAAGUAACGUCUAAAUUAACUUUUUUUUGCUGAUGAACUGUAUAAAUGAGUGUCUAAUAGUGUUUUAAAUGUGUGCAUUCUUUAUUUUAGCAUUUUGGUGCAUUUUCUUUAAAAAUUAAAAAUUCUGUCUAAAAACCACAGUAAUGCGCCACCUUCAGCUGAAAACAUAGAAUUUGAGUCAUUUUGAAUAAAUUUUAGCCAAUGGCUAAAGAGUAAAGUACUACGUAAACCAGUAGAGUACUACGUAGCAGCUCCGUGCCAAAGUUAUAAAAGCAACGAGCGUCUCGGCCACGCCCUGUGGCGAGUGGGAGUUGGAUUUGCAAGCGAGUGUAGGAGGUCAGCGGUAGUUCAGCAUUAGCAUAUAGCAUUAGCAUAUCCUAGUCUUUAGCAUAUCUUUUAGUGUUAUAAAUACUUAUUUAGUGUUAGCUUGGCUGUUGUAUAUUAUAGUUUAGUUAGUGUUUGGCUGUUAGUGUAAUUGGGAAAGUAUUUCGGGUUUAGUGUUCCAUAUCGUCUUAGUAUUGGUGAGUAGGUGUAGUGUAGUAUGGUUGCGGUGACUCUGUGGGCAUUUUACCCGCGAUUCUGCACGUCUCCGUUUGAAGAGGGAGGCUGUGCCCACCGUGGCUCUUCCGCGAUUUAGAUGCAGCCCACCGACUCUGCUCCCCCACCACGGCGGGCUCCAGUCUGAGGUGAGUCAGCUAAAUAAACGUUUUAACAUCUUCUAAAGACAAUUCCCUACCUAAAUGCAAAGUCUGAGAGACGUGGUUCACUUCCUUUAGCUAGUCAGUCGGCAAUUCUGCAACAGUGUCUCUAACUGACGCAGCACUUGUUGACCGCAUUACAGCGUGAAAUCCAGCUUGUGACCCGGUUCUGUGAGGAAUUCUGUUCAGGAGGUCGCAUUUCAGGCUCUCCACAUCAUAUGUGACUGACUUUUACGUUAUAACAACGAUCACACACUAGGAAUGUUAUAAAGCGCCUAUAUAGGAGAUUCUUUUGUAUAUUAUCUGACUAUAAACUCCAACAACAAUGUGCUUCUAUUUUUUUUUUCAGGCUAAAUCUACCCAAGACACUGGCUGUCAGACUGAUUUAGCUGCAUGAAUGUACUUGUCCAGGCUGACGUGAAACCUUCCCUGUAGCAAAGCCAGCCAGAAUGGAGUUCACAGCCGCAGUGUGUCUGGUGACCCACGGGGACCAUGAUGAAAAUUCAUCUUCCAGAAGGUCCCAGAGCGUCCAGACCCCCUGAAAAGACCAAGAUGUGAGGUGUCUGCUGUUGAUUCCAGCUUCCACCUCAGUGACAGUGCAAGCUCAGUGAACUGUUCAAGGUAAAAAAAAAUUAAAACAUUUCAGAAUUUUUAAGAUAUUAACAAUUAAAUAAGUAUGUGAUUACAUCAUGACAUCAUGACGGAGGCUACUGAUUCUGCCCGUGACACUUGGUGGUGACGUGUGAGCUGAUUCUCCUGGAAAAUAACUUUUACAUUAAAUAUUUUGUUUUUGCUAUCAAAAGUAAAUUAACUAAUAACCUGCAUUAUUGCAGGACAUUCAGCAAAAUAUGGACUCUACACCAUGAGGCAUGCACACGUUAAUACUCAAUAAGAGCACAUAAGCCUGGCUGAUCACCUGAUAACUCCUGUCAUCUGGUUAUGACAGCAUGAGGAUGUCCUCACACACCUGUAACCUAUCAGCUCAUCUGGCAGAAUAGAGAGAGAAGAGACAACACCACAUCUCCUGUUCCUGGAAAGCCUUCAGCCUUCCUUCGAUGACUGAGCACCUCCAUCAGCUCUGUCUCCUGUCUGCCUACAAUUAUUAUAAUAAAUAUUGUGUUUGACAAGUUUUUUGUGCUGCCAAAUAUCUCAUUUAGAUUCCAGUUUUGAUAUUUUAAUGGAUAUUUAUAAAUUACAUUGAAUAUCACAUUUUUGUUGCAUGUUUAACUAGCUAUUGUGAUUAAUUAAAC